This 1218-nucleotide ribosomal RNA is filed under the name Triticum aestivum (bread wheat). Its description in RNAcentral is "partial small subunit ribosomal RNA". The record is from RNAcentral. Lineage: Eukaryota; Viridiplantae; Streptophyta; Magnoliopsida; Poales; Poaceae.
AUGGCGACUCCCAAGAGAAUUUACUCGCCUCUGUCGGAGAUCCCCGCCCACCUCUUGGAGCAGAUAUUCCUCCGGCUGCCCGACCCAGAAGACCUCGCCCGCACCUCCGCCGUCUGCGUUACCUUCCGCCGCCUCCUCACCGACGGCUCAUUCCUCCGCCGAUUCCGGCGCCUCCACCCACCACAAGUCCUCGGCAUCCUCGACCUCGGCGGGUUCCACCCCGCUCAGCCGCCUCACCCGUCGGCGCCCGCCGCCCGCGCGCUCGCCCUGGCCGCUGACUUCUCCUUUUCGUUCCUGCCUUCGCGCCGCCGAUGGGCCGUCCGGGCCGUCCGCGACGGCCGCGUCCUCCUCGUCCGCAAGCAAAACAUGAUGGCCGGGGAGCUCUCGAUGUUCCCGGAUCUUGUGGUGUGCGACCCCUUGCACCGGCGGUACAUCCUGCUUCCCCCACUGCCUGACGACCUAGUGGCAUCGGUGGAGAGGCAAGAUGACGAAUUUUUAGGGUGGUCUUGCGAGCCCAGCUUCAUCCCACCUAGCGAUGAGGAGGCUGCCCUGGCGGAAGAGACGGCGUUCAGAGUGAUCUGGUCGGCAUGUUGCAAAACCAAUAUGGCCGUGUUUGUCUUCUCUUCGACCACUGGGCAAUGGCGAGCCGCUGCAUCCCAGGCCUGGAGUGAUCUGGUCAUUAACAGGAAGCCUUUGUAUUUUAUCAGGCGCCAUUUGGUGGACGGAUGCGUCUACUGGGUCUCGCCGAUGAACAAUACAGAUUUGCUUGUGCUUGACACCAGGACUAUGGAGUUCUCCGUUGCUGACCUCCCACCCGGAGAAUGGAGCCAGCAGGAUAUAGCUAUUGUGGAUGCAGGGGAAGGCAGACUUGGGAUGUUUUGUGUAGAUGAUGAAAAUGCAAGUGAUAAAUCUUAUCUCUGUUAUACCAUCAGGCAAAACAGAGGCGAGAGCUCUGGCGAGUGGCAGAUGGAGAAAAUCUCACUAGGUUCUGGGUAUCGGUAUUGUAUCGGAGGUGGAACAGAGAAGUACUUGAUCCUACAAAGGAUAGAAGCCCAGAAGUACUUAUCGCUAACACCACCAAUCAUGGAAUUUUGCAAACUGGAUGUCAGGACAAUGCAGGUUGAGAGGAUUUGUGCUGAAUCUUGCGGGUUCUCUGGGUCUAAAGCGUUCAUAUAUACCAACUUCCCACCGUCGUUGUUGUCUUUACCGACAGUAUGA